GGGAGGCAGCAGUAGGGAAUCUUAGACAAUGGGGGCAACCCUGAUCUAGCCAUGCCGCGUGUGUGAUGAAGGCCCUAGGGUCGUAAAGCACUUUCGCCAGAGAUGAUAAUGACAGUAUCUGGUAAAGAAACCCCGGCUAACUCCGUGCCAGCAGCCGCGGUAAUACGGAGGGGGUUAGCGUUGUUCGGAAUUACUGGGCGUAAAGCGCACGUAGGCGGAUUAGUAAGUUAGAGGUGAAAUCCCAGGGCUCAACCCUGGAACUGCCUUUAAUACUGCUAGUCUUGAGUUCGAGAGAGGUAAGUGGAAUUCCGAGUGUAGAGGUGAAAUUCGUAGAUAUUCGGAGGAACACCAGUGGCGAAGGCGGCUUACUGGCUCGAUACUGACGCUGAGGUGCGAAAGUGUGGGGAGCAAACAGGAUUAGAUACCCUGGUAGUCCACACCGUAAACGAUGAAUGCCAGACGUCAGCAAGUAUACUUGUUGGUGUCACACUAACGGAUUAAGCAUU
Molecule: ribosomal RNA, 506 nt
Filed under: uncultured Alphaproteobacteria bacterium
Lineage: Bacteria; Pseudomonadati; Pseudomonadota; Alphaproteobacteria
Description: bacterial SSU rRNA
Rfam family: Bacterial small subunit ribosomal RNA
Source: RNAcentral